CCUUAUACAGGGGGAUAACAGUCAGAAAUGGCUGCUAAUACCGCAUAAGCGCACAGAGCUGCAUGGCUCAGUGUGAAAAACUCCGGUGGUAUAAGAUGGACCCGCGUUGGAUUAGCUAGUUGGUGGGGUAACGGCCCACCAAGGCGACGAUCCAUAGCCGGCCUGAGAGGGUGAACGGCCACAUUGGGACUGAGACACGGCCCAGACUCCUACGGGAGGCAGCAGUGGGGAAUAUUGCACAAUGGGGGAAACCCUGAUGCAGCGACGCCGCGUGAAGGAAGAAGUAUCUCGGUAUGUAAACUUCUAUCAGCAGGGAAGAUAGUGACGGUACCUGACUAAGAAGCCCCGGCUAACUACGUGCCAGCAGCCGCGGCAAUACGUAGGGGGCAAGCGUUAUCCGGAUUUACUGGGUGUAAAGGGAGCGUAGACGGUGUGGCAAGUCUGAUGUGAAAGGCAUGGGCUCAACCUGUGGACUGCAUUGGAAACUGU
This 489-nucleotide ribosomal RNA is filed under the name uncultured Lachnospiraceae bacterium. RNAcentral's name for it is "bacterial SSU rRNA". It matches the Rfam family "Bacterial small subunit ribosomal RNA", at positions 129 to 636 of the family's 1533-position model. Lineage: Bacteria; Bacillati; Bacillota; Clostridia; Lachnospirales; Lachnospiraceae. The record is from RNAcentral.